Molecule: long non-coding RNA, 342 nt
Organism: Salvia splendens (bonfire salvia)
Lineage: Eukaryota; Viridiplantae; Streptophyta; Magnoliopsida; Lamiales; Lamiaceae
Exons: 3
Source: RefSeq, a predicted model, not a curated record
CUUUGCGAUCACGCCGCGUAUACACCUUCCAUGGGCGAGCGGAUCUCUGUGUCUCUUUGAGGAAAUCUCUCGGUUCAAUGGGUGCAUAUUCAGAAGCAUUUUCAGUGUAUACUAUGCUGAAAUAUAGUAAGAGAACGAUGAAUAAGGCCAUUCAUGGAAAAAUUUUACACAUUUUACUUUCAGGUGGACUUCUUAAAGAUGCAUAUCUAGUUGUCAAGGAUAAUGCAGAGUUAAUCCCUAAGCCAGCCAUUAAGAAGUUUGCUAUCUCCUUUAUGAGGAACGGCAACAUAAACUUAGUAAAUGAUGUGAUCAAGUCUAUUCACAACUCAAACUACAAGAUUG